GCAUCGAUAGUUCAAUAGCAGAGCGGUGGGGCGUUUACCCAUGCGGCCCGGGUUCGAUCCCCGGUCGAUGCA
Phthorimaea operculella (potato tuberworm) is the source of this 72-nucleotide non-coding RNA. Lineage: Eukaryota; Metazoa; Arthropoda; Insecta; Lepidoptera; Gelechiidae. The record is from the annotation of a GenBank genome assembly.